RNAcentral lists this ribosomal RNA (432 nucleotides) under uncultured bacterium. Its description in RNAcentral is "partial 16S ribosomal RNA". It matches the Rfam family "Bacterial small subunit ribosomal RNA", at positions 29 to 506 of the family's 1533-position model. The record is from RNAcentral.
AGCGAACGCUGGCGGCAGGCCUAACACAUGCAAGUCGAACGAACUCUUCGGAGUUAGUGGCGGACGGGUGAGUAACACGUGGGAACGUGCCUUUUGGUUCGGAAUAACUCAGGGAAACUUGUGCUAAUAACGAAUGUGCCCUUCGGGGGAAAGAUUUAUCGCCAUUAGAGCGGCCCGCGUCUGAUUAGCUAGUUGGUGAGGUAACGGCUGACCAAGGCGACGAUCAGUAGCUGGUCUGAGAGGAUGACCAGCCACACUGGGACUGGGACACGGCCCAGACUCCUGCGGGAGGCAGCAGUGGGUAAUCUUGCGCAAUGGGCGAAAGCCUGACGCAGCCAUGCCGCGUGAAUGAUGAAGGUCUUAGGAUUGUAAAAUUCUUUCACCGGGGACGAUAAUGACGGUACCCGGAGAAGAAGCCCCGGCUAACUUCGU